GAUGAACGCUGGCGGCGUGCCUAAUACAUGCAAGUCGAGCGAACAGACGAGGAGCUUGCUCCUCUGACGUUAGCGGCGGACGGGUGAGUAACACGUGGAUAACCUACCUAUAAGACUGGGAUAACUUCGGGAAACCGGAGCUAAUACCGGAUAAUAUAUUGAACCGCAUGGUUCAAUAGUGAAAGACGGUUUUGCUGUCACUUAUAGAUGGAUCCGCGCCGCAUUAGCUAGUUGGUAAGGUAACGGCUUACCAAGGCAACGAUGGGUAGCCGACCUGAGAGGGUGGUCGGCCACACUGGAACUGCGACACGGUCCAGACUCCUACGGGAGGCAGCAGUAGGGAAUCUUCCGCAAUGGGCGAAAGCCUGACGGAGCAACGCCGCGUGAGUGAUGAAGGUCUUCGGAUCGUAAAACUCUGUUAUUAGGGAAGAACAAAUGUGUAAGUAACUAUGCACGUCUUGACGGUACCUAAUCAGAAAGCCACGGCUAACUACGUG
Molecule: ribosomal RNA, 497 nt
Filed under: uncultured bacterium
Lineage: Bacteria
Description: partial 16S ribosomal RNA
Rfam family: Bacterial small subunit ribosomal RNA
Source: RNAcentral